RNAcentral lists this ribosomal RNA (415 nucleotides) under uncultured Nitrosomonas sp. RNAcentral describes it as "bacterial SSU rRNA". It matches the Rfam family "Bacterial small subunit ribosomal RNA", at positions 198 to 594 of the family's 1533-position model. Lineage: Bacteria; Pseudomonadati; Pseudomonadota; Betaproteobacteria; Nitrosomonadales; Nitrosomonadaceae. The record is from RNAcentral.
GGAGAAAAGCAGGGGAUCGUAAGACCUUGCGUUAAUGGAGCGGCUGAUAUCUGAUUAGCUAGUUGGUGAGGUAAAGGCUCACCAAGGCGACGAUCAGUAGCUGGUCUGAGAGGACGACCAGCCACACUGGGACUGAGACACGGCCCAGACUCCUACGGGAGGCAGCAGUGGGGAAUUUUGGACAAUGGGGGAAACCCUGAUCCAGCCAUGCCGCGUGAGUGAAGAAGGCCUUCGGGUUGUAAAGCUCUUUUAGUCGAAAAGAAAGAGUUGCAAUGAAUAAUUGUGAUUUAUGACGGUACCGACAGAAAAAGCACCGGCUAACUACGUGCCAGCAGCCGCGGUAAUACGUAGGGUGCGAGCGUUAAUCGGAAUUACUGGGCGUAAAGCGUGCGCAGGCGGUUUUGAAAGUCAGAUG